CGCGGUGAUUGGUUACUGAAACUGGGACCGUCCCCCGCGCUGGACCUAGAGACAUGAGGGACCCCACAGAGGGGGAAAAAACCUCAGUUUAAAGUGGGAAACCGGACCUUUUGGCCCCAGGUUGUCCCAACUUCAGUGCUGAAAAAGGAUACAAGUUUUAGGGUGCAGAUUUGAAUGAUUUCCUCCCCCAAAUAUAGACCCUGAAACAAAGAACAAAUAACGUUCAUUUAUAGCCUUUGAGUGCCUCUAUGUGCCAGGAACGGUGUGCUGUUAAAUAUGAAAUUAAUUCAUGCUAACCAAGUGUAUGAAUCGGUUAUUACCAGGCUGGGGUUUUUAGCCAGGUGUUCUAAAAUCUUUUUGAUGAUACAAACUUACUGGCGGUGAGACAAAUACAUGUGGGCUGGAUAAUAGUGGAAAUUAUGGCGGGAGGAAUUUUUGCAUUCAUUUUUGUCAGAGUCCUCUUCUGUCAUCAGAUACCUUCUUGCUCUUCCGUGCUCUUAGCUUCAGGACUCCACCAGAGCUGUCCUUUCUGAAACAUUCUUUCAAAAAUCACUUUCCCUCCAACCCGACAAAAGGCCUAUUUACUAAUCAGGGAUGGUUUUUGCAAGCUAAAACCUUGCAGAUCUGUACAGAUCUGUGAAAUCUGCAGUUUCUAGGGACUCUCUUCUCCCUUUCACCUGGCUCAGUUUUUCUGUUUGAAAAAGACAACCCAUCAGUCCAUGUUGUUCUGACUUUCCUUCCCACAGCUUGGUUCCAGCCAGGUUCCUUCCUCCUUCCCAGACAGGUUCUCUGGCCUCUAUGUCUCCGUUCUCUGUGCCUUUAUUCAUACUGUUCCCUCUGCUGAAAUGCUCUUCCCUUCACCUUCAUCCUGUCUACACUCAGUCAUCCUCCAAUAAUGGAUCUUACUUCUACCACAAGAUACUUAUCCCUGUGCGGGUUUUAUCGCCACUAUCCAUGGGGAGCUACUGGAGUCAAGGAUCUUGUCUUGGUCAUCGCUGUAUCCCCUCUCAUGCCGGGAGACAGUGACAUUGCCCGGUGUCAAAAGAGUUUGUUAAGAGAAUGAAAUGCUUAAAUCUUUAAUUGGUGGGAUUUGGAGAAGGUACUUGAGACAGACUGGUCUCUUACUGAGCUCCAAAUCUAGUAAAUUGCUGUGACUCUGAGUGACACUCACCUGAUUUGAAUUUGUCUUUGUUAAUGUCCUGUAGAGCUUUGUAACUAGUCCUCCAGCUAACCUUCAUAUCUCCAGACCUUCUCCCUCAGCCCAUUCUGCCUACCCUCAUCUAUAAAGCACAGUGACCUUCUAUACAAAUAGAAAUCUUG
Molecule: long non-coding RNA, 1320 nt
Filed under: Bos indicus x Bos taurus (hybrid cattle)
Lineage: Eukaryota; Metazoa; Chordata; Mammalia; Artiodactyla; Bovidae
Description: lncRNA (ENSBIXG00000027543.1)
Source: RNAcentral